Molecule: long non-coding RNA, 589 nt
Filed under: Struthio camelus australis
Lineage: Eukaryota; Metazoa; Chordata; Aves; Struthioniformes; Struthionidae
Description: lncRNA (ENSSCUG00000009199.1)
Source: RNAcentral
AUUAACCUUUCACAAUGACUGUGUGGUUGCUGUGAAGUGCUAUGCUAUUUUUUCGGCAACUCUGCUUGUUGAGCUCCUGGACUAGCGGAGUUGGCUGAGUACCAGAGGUUGAUUGCUGGCCACCAGCAACUCACAUUUUUGCUUUUGCCUGAAGCAAUCCUAGGAUGUUCACCACAAAGUUCUUCUUACAGAUGAGGGUUUCACAUAUGGUUUUUAGGAGAUAGAAGGGUUCAGAGGAAGGGCAGGGAAUGAAAGCAGUUCACAGUUUUAGUUCCUAGGGCUUUACUGACAGUGAAUCGACAUUUCUAAAAUGGUCCUCUUCUAUGAUUUCCUUGAACAGAAUAUCUAAACAAAGUGAAUGAAACCAGCAACUAAAGCAAGUUCAGAAGCAAAUACAAAAGCAAACCUCUUCUCCAGUUUGGGCUGCUGCUGUUGGCUCCCUUGCACUUUCUUCAAAUGCAGCUGGAGUGAAAAAAAGGCAAGUACUGAAGCUGCAAGUAUGAGGCCACCUCUUUUCCUUUGUUGAACUACAAGGAUACAGCACAGAGGAGGAAAGAAGAGAUGAAUAUGCUUAGGGAAAAGUAACCAG